This 1437-nucleotide long non-coding RNA is filed under the name Hordeum vulgare. RNAcentral's name for it is "long non-coding RNA (HVUL_LNC011415)". Lineage: Eukaryota; Viridiplantae; Streptophyta; Magnoliopsida; Poales; Poaceae. The record is from RNAcentral.
UUGGGGGUGCCGCACCAGCCCUUAGUGGGCUGGUGGGACAGCCCAAAAGGGGCCUAUGCGCAUUGGGAAUAAAAUCAAAGAGAAAAAGAAAAAAAAAGGAGGAGGUGGGAAAGGGAAGAAGGACUCCACCUUCCAAACCAAGUAGGACUCGGUUUAGGAGGGGAGUCCGUCCCCCCUUGGCUCGGCCGACCCCUUGGGGGUUCUUGGACCCCAAGGAAAGGCUCCCCCCUCUCCCUCCUAUAUAUAGUGUGGUUUUAGGGCUGAUUUGAGACAACUUUUGCCACGGCAGACCGACCACAUACCUCCACGGUUUUACCUCUAGAUCGCGUUUCUGCGGAGCUCGGGCGGAGCCCUGCUGCGAUUAGAUCACCACCAACCUCCGGAGUGCCGUCACGCUGCUGGAGAACUCAUCUACCUCUCCAUCUCUCUUGCUGGAUCAAGAAGGCCGAGAUCAUCGUCGAGCUGUACGUGUGCUGAACGUGGAGGUGCCGUCCGUUCGGCACUAGAUCGGAGCGGAUCGUGGGACGGAUCGCGGGACGGUUCAUGGGACGGUUCGCGGGGCGGAUCGAGGGACGUGAGGACGUUCCACUACAUCAACCGCGUUUCUUAACACUUCUGUUGUGCGAUCUACAAGGGUACGUAGAUCGGAAAUCCCCUCUCGUAGAUGACAUCACCAUGAUAGGUCUUCGUGCGCUUAGGAAAUUUUUUGUUUCCCAUGCGACAUUCCCCAACAGUGGCAUCAUGAGCUAGGUUCAUGCGUAGAUGUAUUCUCGAGUAGAACACACAAGUUUUUGUGGGCGGUGAUGUGCGUUUUGCUACCCUCCUUAGUCUUUUCUUGAUUCCGCGGUAUUGUUGGAUUGAAGCGGCUUGGACCGACAUUACUAGUACGCUUACGAGAGACUGGUUUCAUCGCUAUGAGUAACCCCGUUGCUCAAAGAUGACUGGCAAGUGUCAGUUUCUCCAACUUUAGUUGAAUCGUAUUUGACCGAGGAGGUCCUUGGAUGAGGUUAAAUAGCAAUUCAUAUAUCUCCGUUGUGGUGUUUGCGUAAGUAAGAUGCGAUCCUACUAGAUACCCAUGGUCACCACGUAAAACAUGCAACAACAAAAUUAGAGGACGUCUAACUUGUUUUUGCAGGGUAUGCUUGUGAUGUGAUAUGGCCAACGAUGUGAUGUGAUAUAUUGGAUGUAUGAGAUGAUCAUGUUGUAAUAGAUUAUAUCGACUUGCACGUCGAUGGUACGUCAACCGGCAGGAGCCAUAGGGUUGUCUUUAAACUAACGUUUGUGCUUGCGGAUGCGUUUACUAUUUUGCUAGGAUGUAGCUUUAGUAGUAAUAGCAUGAGUAGCACGACAACCCCGAUGGCGACACAUUGAUGGAGAUCAUGAUGAUGGAGAUCAUGGUGUGACGCCGGUGACAAGAAGAUCGUGCCGUUGCUUUGG